CAUUUUUAAUGGGGUGCAUUGUUUAUUGAUCUGCUUGGCUGUUUAUAGCCUUUCUUGUCCCACCUCUCCAGACUUAGCCUGACUCUGGGGAGACGGAGGAGUGGGGAUGUUUUCCCUGUACCCCAGGACACUCCCCAUGCCUGUGGAGCUUCAUCAGGUCAACAUCAUUCCAUUUCAAGGGAUAGAAACAUUAACAACAGCAGGUGAAGUUCUUUACCUGUAACAGCUUAGGACAGACUAUUAGAAACAGCAGACUCAACCUCCUGGAGCAGGCUGCCUAGCGGCAAUGUGAUGGCAGACCGGAGAUGAAGGUAUCUGGCUCUCAAACCCAAGCUUUUCCCAACAACAUGCACUGUAUUCAAUUCAGCUGUAU
Molecule: long non-coding RNA, 373 nt
Organism: Suricata suricatta (meerkat)
Lineage: Eukaryota; Metazoa; Chordata; Mammalia; Carnivora; Herpestidae
Exons: 3
Source: RefSeq, a predicted model, not a curated record